GGCUGUGGCUCAGUGGUAGAGCGCUUGCCUAACACAUGUGAGGCACUGGGUUUGAUCCUCAGCACCA
RNAcentral lists this transfer RNA (67 nucleotides) under Marmota monax (woodchuck). RNAcentral describes it as "tRNA.Val". Lineage: Eukaryota; Metazoa; Chordata; Mammalia; Rodentia; Sciuridae. The record is from RNAcentral.